GGUGGCUCAGUGGUAGAGUGCUUGCCUUGCUUGCAUGAGGCUCUGGGUUCGAUUCCUCAGCACCA
RNAcentral lists this transfer RNA (65 nucleotides) under Dipodomys ordii (Ord's kangaroo rat). It matches the Rfam family "tRNA". Rfam says of the family: Transfer RNA (tRNA) molecules are approximately 80 nucleotides in length. Their secondary structure includes four short double-helical elements and three loops (D, anti-codon, and T loops). The record is from Rfam by way of RNAcentral. Lineage: Eukaryota; Metazoa; Chordata; Mammalia; Rodentia; Heteromyidae.